Long non-coding RNA from Helianthus annuus (common sunflower), 461 nucleotides. RefSeq lists it as uncharacterized. Lineage: Eukaryota; Viridiplantae; Streptophyta; Magnoliopsida; Asterales; Asteraceae. The record is from RefSeq and is a predicted model, not a curated record. The transcript is spliced from 3 exons.
GUGAUGUUGUACAAAGGUGAUAGGAGGAUCUGAUUAUUCGGUUAUUCCGAUCCGUGGGAAGAAGGAGUGGAGGGGAAGUGGCAGAUUAUGGCGGCAGCCUCCCCUUCUUCGUGCAUCUUCUGUCAGAUCGGUCGGUCUUCCACCACCACUACCCUCCUCCACACCGAUGACAAGGUUGUUGCGUUUCGUGACAUUAAUCCUUCAGCCUUCAGGCAAUUAGGAUGCUUAUCUGCUAGGAAGGCGAGCUUAGAAUAAGCGUCUAGAGCAUAGUUGUCUGUAGAUCUUGCAGAUCGAGUCUCUAGAAGCAUUUGAACAAUUUUUAUAUUUAAAAUAUGAGUUGUCGGAACAGAAUAUUUGACUUGAUGUUAUCUGUAAUAAUUUGUUUGCUAUUUGAGGUACGGUAUGGGACGUAUUAUAUAAAUUGAAUAGUGAUAAUAAUUGUUAUGGAAACUUCUGGACAA